RNA transcript from Sapajus apella (tufted capuchin), 1518 nucleotides. It is a transcript of the gene named ribosome biogenesis protein NOP53-like, with no coding region annotated. The transcript has 2 exons. Lineage: Eukaryota; Metazoa; Chordata; Mammalia; Primates; Cebidae. The record is from RefSeq and is a predicted model, not a curated record.
UCUUCCUUUGACAAGAUGGUGGUGGGAGGCGGUGGCGCUGGUGGGAAGUACAGCUCGAAAAGUGAUGACGAUUGCGGCUUCCUGGGGCUGUGGCCUACUUUGGUGGACCGAGCACUGAGGCAGCAGUGGCGAGGCCCAAGAAAUAAGUGCGGCUGGCAGCAGCUCGCUCAGGAGCCGCUGGGGCUGGAGGUUGACCAGUUCCUGGAAGAUGUGCAGCUGCAGGAGGGCAUGAGCGUGGCUCGUUGUCAGAGGUCCCGAAUGAAAACCUCUUCUUAAUGCACCCUGGCUCCCAGGAAAAAGGGCUAAGAAGAGAACCAAAGUCCAGAAGUCACUGCUUCUCAAGAAACCUCUUCGGGUUGACCUCCUCCUCGAGAACACAUCCAAAGUCCCUGCCCCCUAAGAUGUCCUUGCCCAUCAGGGCCCCAACGCCAAGAAGCUCAGGCGGAAGGAGCCGCUCUGGGAGAAGCUGGCCAAGCAGGCCGAGCUGCCCCGGGGAGGCCCGCAGGGCCCAGGCCCAGCUCCUCAACUCUCCUGCCUCCAAGUCCAAGCCCGGGCCCCAGGACACCGUGGAGCGGCCCUUCUACGACCUCCGGGCCCCAGACAACAGCCGUUGGUUGGCCAGGCCGUUGGUUGGCCAGGAUGCGUUUUUCCUGGAGCAGACCAAGAAGAAGGGAGUGAAGCGGCCACCACGCCUGCACACUAAGCGGUCCCAGGCCCCCACCCUGGAGGUGGCGCCUGCCGGAGCCUCCUACAACCGGUCCUUUGAAGACCGCCAGACCCUGCUCUCAGCGGCCCACGAGGUGGCGUUACGGCGGCAGACGGAGGCGGGGAAGCUGGAGCGGCAGCUGGCCUUGCCCGCCACGGAGCAGGCCGCAGACAAGCUUGGGACAGACCUCGGCAUCCCCAGCCCCCGGCCCCUCGCCCUGGCCCGGCUCCUCCUCACGGUUCCAGGAGCUGUGCGAGGGGCUGCUGGAGGAGUCGGACGGUGACAGGGAGCAGGGCUUGGACGAGGGGCCGGAGGCUGGGGAGGCCAAGGUCUGCCCCACGCCCGCCCGCCAGGCCGCCACAGAGAGGAAGACCGAGCAGCAGCGGCGGCGGGAGAAGGCUGCGUGCAGAGCAGGCCGCGUUGCGGGCGGCCUGGCUCCGGCACCAGGAGCUGUUCCGGCUGCGCCUGUUCAAGGCCCAGGUGGCCCUGAGGCUGGCGGAGCUGGCGCGGCGGCGGGAGGCCGAGACUGACAAGCCCCGAAGGCUGGGGCGGAUCAAGUGCUAGGCAUCCAGACGUGCAGCUCAGCUCAGAACUGACUGACUCGCUCAGGACUCUGAAGCCCGAAGGCAACAAACAUCUUUGGAGACCGGCUCUAGAGCUUCCAGAGGAGGAAUAUGAUCGAGCCUGGAGAGCCAAGUUCUAGCCAAAGUACAAGGUGAAGCUGAUGGAGAAAUGGGUGUUAAAGGAGAUCCAGUUGUAGCUGUUAAUCAGACGCCGGAGCCACGCCCUUCAAUAAAAAGUCCCUUCUAACC